This 282-nucleotide ribosomal RNA is filed under the name uncultured bacterium. RNAcentral describes it as "partial 16S ribosomal RNA". It matches the Rfam family "Bacterial small subunit ribosomal RNA", at positions 40 to 339 of the family's 1533-position model. The record is from RNAcentral.
CGGCAUGCCUUACACAUGCAAGUCGAACGAGAACGCACCUUCGGGUGUUAGUAGAGUGGCAAACGGGUGAGUAACGCGUGGGAAUCUACCUUAUAGUACGGAAUAGCCUCGGGAAACUGGGAUUAAUACCGUAUACGCCCUUCGGGGGAAAGAUUUAUCGCUAUAAGAUGAGCCCGCGUAAGAUUAGCUAGUUGGUGGGGUAAAAGCCUACCAAGGCGACGAUCUUUAGCUGGUCUGAGAGGACGAUCAGCCACACUGGGACUGAGACACGGCCCAGACUCC